CCGUGGCCAUUUUGGCUCUAG
This 21-nucleotide small RNA is filed under the name Karenia brevis. Its description in RNAcentral is "trans-spliced leader sequence SL". Lineage: Eukaryota; Dinophyceae; Gymnodiniales; Kareniaceae. The record is from RNAcentral.